Long non-coding RNA from Oncorhynchus tshawytscha (Chinook salmon), 792 nucleotides. The record is from Ensembl. Lineage: Eukaryota; Metazoa; Chordata; Actinopteri; Salmoniformes; Salmonidae.
GGAGGACUAGGAGAAUGAUGGAGGGAGGACUAGGAGAAUGAUGGAGGGAGGAAUAGGAGAAUGAUGGAGGGAGGACUAGGAGAAUGAUGGAGGGAGGACUAGGAGAAUGAUGGAGGGAGGACUAGGAGAAUGAUGGAGGGAGGACUAGGAGAAUGAUGGAGGGAGGACUAGGAGAAUGAUGGAGGGAGAACUAGGAGAAUGAUGGAGGGAGGACUAGGAGAAUGAUGGAGGGAGGAAUAGGAGAAUGAUGGAGGGAGGACUAGGAGAAUGAUGGAGGGAGGACUAGGAGAAUGAUGGAGGGAGGACUAGGAGAAUGAUGGAGGGAUGACUAGGAGAAUGAUGGAGGGAGAACUAGGAGAAUGAUGGAUGGAGGACUAGGAGAAUGAUGGAGGGAGAACUAGGAGAAUGAUGGAGGGAGGACUAGGAGAAUGAUGGAGGGAGAACCAGGAGAAUGAUGGAGGGAGGACUAGGAGAAUGAUGGAGGGAGAACUAGGAGGAUGAUGGAGGGAGAACUAGGAGAAUGAUGGAGGGAGGACUAGGAGAAUGAUGGAGGGAGGACUAAUAGAAUGAUGGAGGGAGGACUAGGAGAAUGAUGGAGGGAGGACUAGGAGAUUGAUGGAGGGAGGACUAGGAGAAUGAUGGAGGGAGAACUAGGAGAAUGAUGGAGGGACUAGGAGAAUGAUGGAGGGAGGACUAGGAGAUUGAUGGAGGGAGAACUAGGAGAAUGAUGGAGGGAGGACUAGGAGAAUGAUGGAGGGAGAACUAGGAGAAUGAUGGAGGGAGAACUAGGAG